AUGAACAAAAAGAGCCAAAUAGAAAGGAAAAAUUAUAUCUACAACAAAAGCAGCAGACAGCUAAAUUCCACAUCACUGACUACUGAAGAAUAUCUCCUAGAAGCAAGAUCACUUGAACCAAAUUAAUUGAAGAUGGAUGUUCAGACCUUUCUCCUAUAUCCUCUGAUAUUGGGAAAGAAGCAAAUUUCAAAUCAGUGGAUUAAAAAGAGUCUUACUACUAAUCUUUAACCUGAUGCAGUAAGGAUUAACUCUAUGGAUGGAUUAAGGAGAAACAGAGAGAACAUUGACUGGGGCACCAUUCGGUUUCAAAGAAUGACAAGAAAGGAUGAAGAAUUGGCUGGAGGUAAAAAUCUCAUUGAAAAUCUUUGUCAGUGGGUGAAAUGUCCAGCUGUUAAGUGAAUUGGUAUGGUAUGGUGGCUAGUUCCAAAUGAAAUGGCUAAGCUUCACCCCUUUGAACACUCAACUUCUCAGGAACACCUCCGUAACCAAAUGUUUGGUGUUUUUCCUAUACACCAAGAAGGCAAUCAGUUCUCAGCAGAUUCUCCAGUGGACACGAGGUAUUUGUGCCUUCCGUUUUUUGUUGUUAUCUUAUUUCAGAGCAAGAAUGCUAUAUGAAGGUGAAGUCAGUGAUUGAGCUGAUGCAUCCACAAACCAAAGAACAACAAAUAUUGCCAGCAAAGCACCAGAAGCCUGGAGAGAGCAUUAUUUGUGUAGGAUCGCUCACCCUCAGGCACCAAGCCCUGGCUGACCCAGCUGGCCUUGCCCUGUCUUUUAUGUAACAAUGUGAAAACUGAAGAUCCCACUAAACGCCAAG
Molecule: long non-coding RNA, 814 nt
Filed under: Homo sapiens (human)
Lineage: Eukaryota; Metazoa; Chordata; Mammalia; Primates; Hominidae
Description: HSALNT0092954
Source: RNAcentral